GCCGACGUAGCUCAGCAGGUAGAGCGCCUGGUCCAUAACCAGGAGGUACCCGGUUCGAGACCGGGCGUCGGUA
This 73-nucleotide transfer RNA is filed under the name Micromonospora pisi. Its description in RNAcentral is "Micromonospora sp. GUI15 tRNA". It matches the Rfam family "tRNA". Rfam says of the family: Transfer RNA (tRNA) molecules are approximately 80 nucleotides in length. Lineage: Bacteria; Bacillati; Actinomycetota; Actinomycetes; Micromonosporales; Micromonosporaceae. The record is from Rfam by way of RNAcentral.